Molecule: long non-coding RNA, 3029 nt
Filed under: Homo sapiens (human)
Lineage: Eukaryota; Metazoa; Chordata; Mammalia; Primates; Hominidae
Description: HSALNT0364496
Source: RNAcentral
AUUUCCUCCCUGAUGUUCUUCCAUGGAAGGACCCUGAGGUUCACAGGGCACUAUGCCAUCUUGAACAGCAGGAUUUCUCCAGUCCCUGUGCAGGGGACAGUGUGUCAUUCUGGGACCCUCAAUGAGGAAAGGCAUCUAAGAGAUCUCUCAAGGACUAGUAUUUUUCAAAAUGUGAUCCAACAACCCUCCAUCCACAGGGGGCUCAUUAGAAAUGCAGGUUCUGAGAUCUAUUCCAAAAUUACCAAAUCAGAAAUGGAGCAGAAAUAUGAAAAUUUAAUGGGUUUCCUAGGAGAUUUUAAAGCACACUAAAGCCUGAGAGCCACUGCCCUGGGCUGCCUGGACUUCAUCUCUCCUCACCAUUUUCAUUCCUGGGAAUGAGAUGAUAUGGUCUUUGACUAGAGUUAGAUAGGUAGAUAGAUAGAUCUUACAUUUAAAUAAUAUCUAUCUACUAAUUCAGUCAGCUUUUAUUGAAGGCUUUCUAUUACUAGGCACCAUAAUGGAAUUAAUAAAGGUAGAACACCUACCAUAUUCUAUACUGAUUGCUUUCAUAAAUUAACUCCUUUGAUCCUUACAACUUUAUAGUUACUACUGUUAUAUUCAUUCAACGGAGGAGCAAACCAAAGCACAGAGAGAUUAAGAAAAAUUUUCAAGAUUAGAGAGCCUGUAAAUGGCACAGAGUUUGAACCCAGGUAGUCAGCUCCAGAACCCAUGAGCUUAACUACUAUAUGAUAUACUCUUCUCAAAGCUGGAGAGGAAUAAGACUUGGUUAUUGCAGCAACCCUCCCAGCCCCAACCGCAGGAGCUCACAGUCUCAGCAGGAAUCCAGACUUCAGACAUAUACAUAGGUCAUUACAUAUGCUUGUUAAUUGCUAUGAUAAUGUAUGAACAGAAUGCUAUGAGAAUUAGGAGGAAAUUAUUAACUGCCAACGGUGUCAAGAAAGGCUUCCAGAAAAAUAUAUGGCUCAGUGAGAACAGGAUUUCUGUCUCUUUAGCUUCUUCUAGCACAGUAUUUUACAAAUAUUAGGUGCUCAAAAUAAAUAUGUUGAAUGAGUGAAUUAAUGAAUGAGAUGAUUCAUUGCAGCUGGUAUUGAAGAAUCGGGAGGAGAUUUUGUGACAAGUAAGAGGGAGAAGCAUGCACACAGCCUGGAGGAGUAAAUGGCUACAAAUAAUUUGUUUUGGCAAAAGACAUUAAAUGUGACAGGAGCAAAGGUGCCUGGGAGAGGGGUGAUGGGACUGAUGUGAGGAGCAGGGACAAAGAGGAGGCUGAGAGUGAAAGAUCUUCUGCUCUGUGCGAAAGAAUUUAGAUUAGUUCUCUGGGCAGCCUCCUCAGGCAGGGGAGUGACAUUAUCAGAUUUCUCUGAUGGGAAGACACCUCUGGGGGCCAGUGUGGAAGGCAUAAAGUGGAUUAGUGUGAAGGAAGUCUGGCAGGAGGAAGGCCAGCUAGGAAGAUUGAAGGAGUAAGAGCAAGAGAUUUGGAAGGUCUGAGCUACCGCACAGGCCAACAGGAAUAGAAAAGGAGGACCCAUUAGAGACACUUGUUUGAGGCAGGAGAGGCAGGAUUCAAGUGAGCAGCGAGUGUCCAGAUUAGACUUUAUUUUCUAACACAAAUGGCAAUGGCAUUAACUGAAAUAAGGACUCCAAGAAAGGGAAGUAUGAGGUGGAGAGAGUUAAAGAGCUCAGUUUUAAACAGGUUAGGUUGCAGUCACCUGUCAGUCCUUCCAGGGAAGAGAAAUUCCCAGCAGGCAUUUAUUAAGAUGAAUGAACAGCAAGUUUUCAAAUGGGGACAUGGUGUUUGGUAUCAUCAGCAUCAGGGAGGGAGGUGAAGCCAUGGGAGCAGAGAACAUCCCUCAGGAAAAGUGCAUAAAGGGAGAAGAGAGAGGACUAAGAAUGUAUUCAUGAAAAGUAGCCUUUAGCGGGAAAUCAGAAAAUGAGACUCUGGUACUCUGCUGUGAGAGCGUAAUUAUGUAUAACCUCAGAGGACAAUUUGUCGAUAUGUAUCAAAAACCUUAAAAAUAUUCGUAAUCUUUGACCCACCCAGCAAUUCUUCUUUUUAGAAUUUAUGUGCAAGAAACAACGAAUUGGAUUUUUAUGGGAUUUGUUGUAUGUUGGCUUGUGCCUCCUGCUAUGGAAUAGGGUUAUUUUGUUUGUGAAGAUAAUAAGAGCUUAUGAUUGGAAGAAUGAUAUUGUGGGUAUAAGAUAGUUGACAUACCUAAGGGAGUCUCCCAGGAAAUAGCCACUGUAGACAAAUAGAAAAGCUGGAAGAGUUGAUAGAACUGGAAGGAGCCUCAUCAACUCUACUGAAGGCCUGAAUCAUUUCUACAGCAUCCAGCUUUUUUUUGACAGGGAAUGAGAGAUGAACACAUACCUUGUCUGGGGCUGGCAACUGCCAACUUUUUCUUGAAGGGAGGGAAGUGUAUACUUAAACUGCCGAGACAGUCUCGGGUUUGGGAAAGAGAUUUCUGUUCAUCUCUUUAAACUACGGAACGUUUAUAGUGUGCACUCCACUGUAAAGGAAGCCCGUGAAGUUUGCUUGGCAUAGGAGUAAUACAGAGGCUGGGGUCUGGGAUGUCUUCUCAGCAUUUAAAUGCUUCUUAAUUUAAAACAUGUUUUCAAGAGCUGAAAAUGAAUAUGAUGGCUGCAUGGUAUAGUAGAAGGGAGUAAUGUGCUGAGGGCCUGAAGAGCUAGCUUUCAGCCCACAGGGGAAAAGCACUGUGGCAGGCAAGAGAGAUACAAAACUUAUUAAAACAUAUACUCUUUCCUGAUUCAAGGCAAUAAACACUACAGAGCACGCAGCUAUUAAUAACUAUAAUAAAUUCGGAAUAUGAUAUUACUCUAAAUAAAGUAGAACUAGUAUAUAGAGUAGAGGCAGUGGGUUAGGAGUUUUUAAAUUGUAGUUUUUUCCCAGACCAGCAGCAUCAGUAUCACCUCACCUAGGAACUUAAUAGCAAUGCAAAUUUCCAGGCCCUACUGGAGAAACGGGGCUGGCAGCGUAAGCUGUACUUUAGCCCUACAGGUGAUUCAGAUUCUCC